GCGAAGACGGUUCACGCCCUAGGUAGCGCGGCCUCUGUGAUCGAUUAAGCAGCUACACGCCUAAUGGAAAUAUUAUCGUGUCAUUUUCCUUAACAUUAUAGCAACCUUUUAAACCACAUCGCUGUAUGCAACGACAGUUCCGGUUCACAAACUCUCUGAUACGGUAUCUCAAGAUAUGAAGUUCGUCAGGGGUGGGGGACAUUCAUGAUUACGUCAGCCGAAUGUUGCGAUAUUACUUUAGCGAUAGCUUCCUAUCAUGCCCUUCCCCAGUCUUAAAGUCACGGCUAUUAGGCCGUGACUGUGUCACGUAAAGCGCUUAUGGUUUGAAGAAGGAAAACAGGAGCUCGCAACGUCCAAGGAAGAUUUUCCAUUGCAGACAAUUCACGUUGGCGAACACUCUUGUGAAUACCGGACGUCAUGCCUAUCUCUCAAGUCACUGCAGCCUGAAUACACAAAACUUAUUGCACCCGUCCUACUGGAGCUCUGUAGUCAAGGGCUAGGUAAGCAUUUAACACGCAGGCUCAAAGUACUACACGAUUCUGUAACGAACAUAUCGAUAAGACAUGAGAUAUGUUUGUAUAAUCCUGGUUUGAAUUACGUACAAGCAUCAGACUUACGAGUAGCGGAUGCACUUUGCUUCAUAACUCAACUGACGGCCGGACUUAGCAUGCAUACGGCAACACAAGAGAUGAAAUUACGACGGAAACAAUAUAUUGGCGCUAACAGUGGAGGUGAGAAGCGGAAACAGGCCGCCUACAUGAUAUCCGGAGGCCAAACUGGGCAAGGGAUGAGUAAUUUAUCUACCACGAUUUAAUGAGCAUCACGAUGCGCUUAUGUUCCCAUAAUGUCGACACACACACACAUCCAACUACUUCGGACAUGAGCAAGAAAGAAAGAGAAAGUGUUAUCAGCAUUUUACGUGUAUGUCCGUCCGUUCACGAGUAAUCAUCUUUGUGUCUAUACGACCAUGUCCAUCUGUGCGUCAAAAUAAAGAACUAA
RNA transcript from Cryptotermes secundus, 999 nucleotides. RefSeq lists it as uncharacterized. NCBI's taxonomy places the organism in Eukaryota, Metazoa, Arthropoda, Insecta, Blattodea, Kalotermitidae. The record is from RefSeq and is a predicted model, not a curated record. The transcript has 2 exons.